This 409-nucleotide long non-coding RNA is filed under the name Hordeum vulgare. RNAcentral's name for it is "long non-coding RNA (HVUL_LNC019476)". The record is from RNAcentral. Lineage: Eukaryota; Viridiplantae; Streptophyta; Magnoliopsida; Poales; Poaceae.
UACUAUGUAGGCAUUACUUGAUGGCAGCAAUAAACAGUGUCCUACGUGGUAUGAUGAAGUCCUUCCUAGAAAAUAUUCUUGGUCAAGUGAGUUAUCGAGUCUUGUAUUGUUUCCUCCUCUGCCUUUUUGAUCCACUUUUCAUGUAUUUUCCAUGUAAAAAUAAUUUUAUGUGGUUGUUUCAGGGAUACUGGAAGAGGGGGUGUUGACUGUUGAGGUCAUAAAAAUAAACUUCACUAUCUGAAUUGAUAAAGUUGAAAUUUGGCCUUACUUCAUGCAUUAUAGUUUACAUUUUCAUAGAGGAUUUCACUUUCAUUACCAGUGUUGAUGCUUUAUUUAGCAUCACCUGGGAUAUUUCACGUUCAUGUAUUUUGGUCUACUACUACAUACUCCCUCCGUCUCAAAAUUCUUG